Molecule: ribosomal RNA, 406 nt
Filed under: uncultured bacterium
Lineage: Bacteria
Description: partial 16S ribosomal RNA
Rfam family: Bacterial small subunit ribosomal RNA
Source: RNAcentral
AUUGAACGCUGGCUGCAGGCCUAACACAUGCAAGUCGAACGAGUGGCGGACGGGUGAGUAAUGUCUGGGAAACUGCCCGAUGGAGGGGGCUAACUACUGGAAACGGUAGCUAAUACCGCAUACCAUCGGAUGUGCCCAGAUGGGAUUAGCUAGUAGUUGGGGUAACGGCUCACCUAGGCGACGAUCCCUAGCUGGUCUGAGAGAAUGACCAGCCACACUGGAACUGAGAAACGGUCCAGACUCCUACGGGAGGCAGCAGUGGGGAAUAUUGCACAAUGGGCGAAAGCCUGAUACAGCAAUGCCGCGUGUGUGAAGAAGGCCUUCGGGUUGUAAAGUACUUUCAGCGAGGAGGCGUUACUCGCAGAAGAAGCACCGGCUAACUCCGUGCCAGCAGCCGCGGUAAUUC